CAUUUAAAGAAAGCGUAAUAGCUCACUGGUCGAGUCGGCCUGCGCGGAAGAUGUAACGGGGCUAAACUAUGCACCGAAGCUGCGGCAGCGACACUUAGGUGUUGUUGGGUAGGGGAGCGUUCUGUAAGCCGUUGAAGGUGGCUCGUGAGGGUUGCUGGAGGUAUCAGAAGUGCGAAUGCUGACAUAAGUAACGAUAAAGCGGGUGAAAAGCCCGCUCGCCGGAAGACCAAGGGUUCCUGUCCAACGUUAAUCGGGGCAGGGUGAGUCGACCCCUAAGGCGAGGCCGAAAGGCGUAGUCGAUGGGAAACAGGUUAAUAUUCCUGUACUCGGUGUUACUGCGAAGGGGGGACGGAGAAGGCUAGGCUAUCCGGGCGACGGUUGUCCCGGUUUAAGCGUGUAGGGGGUGUGACUUGGUAAAUCCGGUCGCAUAUCAACCCUGAGGCGUGAUGACGAGUCACUACGGUGAUGAAGUAGUUGAUGCCAAGCUUCCAGGAAAAGCCUCUAAGCUCUAGGUAACAUUGAAUCGUACCCCAAACCGACACAGGUGGUCAGGUAGAGAAUACCAAGGCGCUUGAGAGAACUCGGGUGAAGGAACUAGGCAAAAUGGUGCCGUAACUUCGGGAGAAGGCACGCUGGCGCGUAGGUGAAGUCCCUUGCGGAUGGAGCUGAAGCCAGUCGAAGAUACCAGCUGGCUGCAACUGUUUAAUAAAAACACAGCACUGUGCAAACACGAAAGUGGACGUAUACGGUGUGACGCCUGCCCGGUGCCGGAAGGUUAAUUGAUGGGGUCAGCCGCAAGGCGAAGCUCUUGAUCGAAGCCCCAGUAAACGGCGGCCGUAACUAUAACGGUCCUAAGGUAGCGAAAUUCCUUGUCGGGUAAGUUCCGACCUGCACGAAUGGCGUAAUGAUGGCCAGGCUGUCUCCACCCGAGACUCAGUGAAAUUGAACUCGCUGUGAAGAUGCAGUGUACCCGCGGCAAGACGGAAAGACCCCGUGAACCUUUACUAUAGCUUGACACUGAACAUUGAGCCUUGAUGUGUAGGAUAGGUGGGAGGCUUUUAAGCGUGGACGCCAGUCUGCGUGGAGCCAACCUUGAAAU
Molecule: ribosomal RNA, 1099 nt
Filed under: human gut metagenome
Description: bacterial LSU rRNA
Rfam family: Bacterial large subunit ribosomal RNA
Source: RNAcentral